Molecule: small RNA, 775 nt
Filed under: Lactifluus flavellus
Lineage: Eukaryota; Fungi; Basidiomycota; Agaricomycetes; Russulales; Russulaceae
Description: eukaryotic LSU rRNA
Rfam family: 5.8S ribosomal RNA (bases 222-375)
Source: RNAcentral
GGGUAGGGACCUGCGGAAGGACAGUUCCGACUGGUGGAGGCCGUGGGCUGUCGCUGACCCCCUUCUGAAGGGGGUCGUGCACGCCGUCGGUGUCGUCCUCACACAACCAAAUCCACCUCACCCUUUUGUGCAUCGCCGCGUGGGCCCCGAAAGGGGCCUGCGCCUUUUACACACGCAUGAUUCAGUGUAGAAUGUCCUUUGCAAUUGUAUGCAAUCAAUACAACUUUCAACAACGGAUCUCUUGGCUCUCGCAUCGAUGAAGAACGCAGCGAAAUGCGAUACGUAAUGUGAAUUGCAGAAUUCAGUGAAUCAUCGAAUCUUUGAACGCACCUUGCGCCCCUUGGCAUUCCGAGGGGCACACCCGUUUGAGUGUCGUGAAAUCCUCAACCCUUCUUUGUUUCAUUUUGAUUCGGAGAAAGGCUUGGAAUUUGGAGGCUUUUGCUGGCCUCUCUUGAAGCCAGCUCCUCUUAAAUGCAUUAGCAGGGUCUCCUCGGCCGGAUCCCUCGACGUGAUAAGCCUUUUACGUCUCAAAGGGUUUUCCGGCUCUGCCCGCUUCCAAUCGUCUCGUCGAGACAAACCUUUUUGAACCCUUGACCUCAAAUCGGGUGAGACUACCCGCUGAACUUAAGCAUAUCAAUAAGCGGAGGAAAAGAAACUAACAAGGAUUCCCCUAGUAACUGCGAGUGAAGCGGGAAAAGCUCAAAUUUAAAAUCUGGCGGUCUUUGGCCGUUCGAGUUGUAAUUUAGAGAAGCGUCUUCCGCGCUGGACCGUGAAA